RNAcentral lists this ribosomal RNA (423 nucleotides) under uncultured bacterium. RNAcentral's name for it is "bacterial SSU rRNA". It matches the Rfam family "Bacterial small subunit ribosomal RNA", at positions 32 to 437 of the family's 1533-position model. The record is from RNAcentral.
AAUCAACGCUGGCGGCGUGCCUAACACAUGCAAGUCGAACGCGAAAGCCCCUUCGGGGGUAAGUAGAGUGGCGUCCGGGUGAGUAACACGUAGGUAAUCUGCCUUCGGGUGGGGAAUAACCAGUCGAAAGAUUGGCUAAUACCGCAUAAUGCAGCGGCACCUAAUGGUGAUUAGUUGUUAAAGCGGGGGAUCGUAAGACCUCGCGCCUGAAGAGGAGCCUGCGGCAGAUUAGCUAGNGGUGAGGUAAUGGCUCACCAAGGCUUCGAUCUGUAGCUGGUCUGAGAGGACGGCCAGCCACACUGGCACUGACACACGGGCCAGACUCCUACGGAGGCAGCAGUGGGGAAUUUUGGGCAAUGGGCGAAAGCCUGACCCAGCAACGCCGCGUGAGGGUGGAAAUCCUUCGGGAUGUAAACCUCACAA